GAGUUUGAUCCUGGCUCAGAUUGAACGCUGGCGGCAUGCCUUACACAUGCAAGUCGAACGGCAGCAUGAUCUAGCUUGCUAGAUUGAUGGCGAGUGGCGAACGGGUGAGUAAUACAUCGGAACGUGCCCUGUAGUGGGGGAUAACUAGUCGAAAGAUUAGCUAAUACCGCAUACGACCUGAGGGUGAAAGUGGGGGACCGCAAGGCCUCAUGCUAUAGGAGCGGCCGAUGUCUGAUUAGCUAGUUGGUGGGGUAAAGGCCCACCAAGGCGACGAUCAGUAGCUGGUCUGAGAGGACGAUCAGCCACACUGGGACUGAGACACGGCCCAGACUCCUACGGGAGGCAGCAGUGGGGAAUUUUGGACGAAUGGGCGAAAGCCUGAUCCAGCAAUGCCGCGUGUGUGAAGAAGGCCUCGG
This 416-nucleotide ribosomal RNA is filed under the name uncultured microorganism. RNAcentral's name for it is "bacterial SSU rRNA". It matches the Rfam family "Bacterial small subunit ribosomal RNA", at positions 9 to 420 of the family's 1533-position model. The record is from RNAcentral.